RNAcentral lists this ribosomal RNA (497 nucleotides) under uncultured bacterium. RNAcentral's name for it is "partial 16S ribosomal RNA". It matches the Rfam family "Bacterial small subunit ribosomal RNA", at positions 28 to 507 of the family's 1533-position model. The record is from RNAcentral.
GAUGAACGCUGGCGGCGUGCCUAAUACAUGCAAGUCGAGCGAACAGACGAGGAGCUUGCUCCUCUGACGUUAGCGGCGGACGGGUGAGUAACACGUGGAUAACCUACCUAUAAGACUGGGAUAACUUCGGGAAGCCGGAGCUAAUACCGGAUAAUAUAUUGAACCGCAUGGUUCAAUAGUGAAAGACGGUUUUGCUGUCACUUAUAGAUGGAUCCGCGCCGCAUUAGCUAGUUGGUAAGGUAACGGCUUACCAAGGCAACGAUGCGUAGCCGACCUGAGAGGGUGAUCGGCCACACUGGAACUGAGACACGGUCCGGACUCCUACGGGAGGCAGCAGUAGGGAAUCUUCCGCAAUGGGCGAAAGCCUGACGGAGCAACGCCGCGUGAGUGAUGAAGGUCUUCGGAUCGUAAAACUCUGUUAUUAGGGAAGAACAAAUGUGUAAGUAACUAUGCACGUCUUGACGGUACCUAAUCAGAAAGCCACGGCUAACUACGUG